CGCUUAAAGAAACUUAAAUGAACCUAAAAAUAUAGUAUCUUAAUAUACCGUCGUUAAAAUUAACGAAAAAUGUCAACGAAAGAGUUUAUUUGAGAAAGAACUAAAAUGAAGAGAUUGAUAUUAUCUAAAAUUUUUAUGCAAAAAAAUAUUUGGGACCCUGUGGUUUAAAAUGUAUCAAGUUAGUACUCUGUGGUUUCGCACUUUCUUACUUGCAUACCUUAUGGUUUAAUAUUUCGUUAAAUUAUAUACAAAAAACCUUCAAAUACCAUACCUAGGUUUAUCGUAUAUUCAUUUUUGUACCCUUUAGAAAAAAAAACCCCGAAAUGGAUAAUAAAAAGAAAAAAUAAAACCAUAGGGUCCUAACUUGAUACAAAAAUGAAACCACAGAGUACUAACUCGAUACAUUUUAAACCACAGGGUAUUAAAGUGAGAAGGUGCGAAACCGCAUGGUACUAUCUUGAUACACUUUAAACCGCAGAAUACUAACUCGACACACUUUAAACUAUAGGGUAUUAAAGUGAGAAAGUGCGAAACCACCGGAAGAGUAUUUGAAGUUUUCCUAAAAAUAUAUAAAAAAUUAGUGUGAGAUUUUUCAUUUUUUUUUUUUGUAGGCGUAGAGAGAGAAUUG
RNAcentral lists this long non-coding RNA (628 nucleotides) under Ananas comosus (pineapple). RNAcentral's name for it is "long non-coding RNA (ACOM_LNC002555)". Lineage: Eukaryota; Viridiplantae; Streptophyta; Magnoliopsida; Poales; Bromeliaceae. The record is from RNAcentral.